GACGAACGCUGGCGGCGUGCUUAACACAUGCAAGUCGAGCGAUGAAAGCCUUAUGAACUAUUCGUAGUGAUUGGGGCCGGAUUAGCGGCGGACGGGUGAGUAACGCGUGAGCAACCUGCCUUAAACAACGGGAUAGCCUCGGGAAACCGGGAUUAAUACCGUAUGAGACCCCGCCUUCCCACGAAGAAGCGGUUAAAGAUUUAUCGGUUUAAGAUGGGCUCGCGUCUGAUUAGCUAGUUGGUGAGAUAAAAGCCCACCAAGGCAACGAUCAGUAACCGGCUUGAGAGAGUGAACGGUCACAUUGGAACUGAGACACGGUCCAAACUCCUACGGGAGGCAGCAGUGGGGAAUAUUGCACAAUGGGGGAAACCCUGAUGCAGCGACGCCGCGUGAGCGAUGAAGGAAUUCGUUUCGUAAAGCUCUGCCCAAGGGGAAGAUAAUGACAGUACCCUUGGAGGAAGCCCCGGCUAAAUACGUGCCAGCCGCCGCGGUAA
RNAcentral lists this ribosomal RNA (494 nucleotides) under uncultured bacterium. RNAcentral's name for it is "partial 16S ribosomal RNA". It matches the Rfam family "Bacterial small subunit ribosomal RNA", at positions 28 to 523 of the family's 1533-position model. The record is from RNAcentral.